AAGAGUAUACAAAAAAACAGAGAAAAGGUUGCGCCAAGAGAAAUAAAUAAAUAUUAUACAAACAUUUUAUUUGGCGCAGCCUUUUCUCUGUUUUUUUGUACCUUCUC
Molecule: non-coding RNA, 107 nt
Organism: Pelobates cultripes (western spadefoot toad)
Lineage: Eukaryota; Metazoa; Chordata; Amphibia; Anura; Pelobatidae
Source: the annotation of a GenBank genome assembly